GUGGGGAAUCUUCCGCAAUGGACGAAAGUCUGACGGAGCAACGCCGCGUGAGUGAUGAAGGUCUUCGGAUUGUAAAGCUCUGUUAAUCGGGACGAAAGAGCCUAGUGUGAAUAAUGCUAGGAAGUGACGGUACCGGAAUAGAAAGCCACGGCUAACUACGUGCCAGCAGCCGCGGUAAUACGUAGGUGGCAAGCGUUGUCCGGAAUUAUUGGGCGUAAAGCGCGCGCAGGCGGAUCUGCCAGUCUGUCUUAAAAGUUCGGGGCUUAACCCCGUGAUGGGAUGGAAACUACAGAUCUAGAGUAUCGGAGAGGAAAGUGUAAUUCCUAGUGUAGCGGUGAAAUGCGUAGAUAUUAGGAAGAACACCAGUGGCGAAGGCGACUUUCUGGACGAAAACUGACGCUGAGGCGCGAAAGCCAGGGGAGCGAACGGGAUUAGAAACCCGAGUAGUCC
RNAcentral lists this ribosomal RNA (450 nucleotides) under uncultured bacterium. RNAcentral's name for it is "partial 16S ribosomal RNA". It matches the Rfam family "Bacterial small subunit ribosomal RNA", at positions 354 to 796 of the family's 1533-position model. The record is from RNAcentral.